This is a long non-coding RNA of Misgurnus anguillicaudatus (oriental weatherfish), 1036 nucleotides long. RefSeq lists it as uncharacterized. Lineage: Eukaryota; Metazoa; Chordata; Actinopteri; Cypriniformes; Cobitidae. The record is from RefSeq and is a predicted model, not a curated record.
UUUUUUUUUCUCCUCAGAUGUGGUGUGCUGUAUGAUGUGGCAUUGGGUCAGGCUGUAUCUGUUUCCUGUGGUGACAUAAAGGGACGAUAUGUGAAUGUCUUUUUACCUGGAAGUUCAAGAGUUCUCACUAUGUGUGAUGUAAAGGUGUUUGCAGUUAAAGUCAUAAAAGGUUUUAUAAGGAUCAAAUUUAACUCCAGUCUAGAUAUGUCAGAUCCAGCAGAGAGGAACAACGUUCUUAAUGAGCUGAAGACCGCUUUGACUUCUAAAGGAUUCUCUGUUUUCACAUUGAACUGGUCAAAACUCCCUCAGAAGAUCAAACCGGAGACUUAGCUGGGUGGUCCAUGUGUUAAGGGCAGUUACUAAAUGAACAGACUGUCUUUGGAGAAGGAAAUGCAACUCAAAAACAUGUAUUUGUUGUGAUAGAUCUGAGAAAAACACAUGUAUUUCACAUUUAUUUCAUUUUUUAUUAAUUUAAUAAUAUAUAUUUAUUUACUUGCAAACUCUUACUAAUUUGUAUUAUAUAUUCGUUCAUUUAUUUUAUCAUUUAAUCAUUUACUUUUACUCUUAUUUUAAUUAUUCUUUACUACAUAUAUUUAAGUUUAUAUUAUAUUUAGUUUAUUCUGUUCUUCAUUACUUUCUUAAUGUUGUUUAAUCUACUGGUGAUGCUGUAUAGUCUCCAGUGGUCUUUAUCUCAAGGCUCAUAAUAACAUCAUGAGACAAAGUUUUAUAACAACUACCUUGCAUGCUAUAAUAAUAUCUAUUGAAUCUGUUUCUAGUCAGAUGAGGUCAGUCAGACAAUCGAAGCAGCUAAACUGAGCACUGAAACGGAGAUUAUUUAAUAAAUUAUUUUUUAUUUUAUUUAACAACACUUCAUCUCCUGCCUGCUGUCUUUCCCUUCAUCUCCGUAUCUGCCAUCUCGUGGUUGAUAUUUAUGUAAAGAUUUAGUGAUUUUGUUAUGGAGAGAGAGAAAUCUAGUGAAACUGUACUUUAAUUAAAUCUAUAAGAUCUGCAAGUCAUAGAUCCAUAGUUGGAUCUA